AGUGAACGCUGGCGGCAGGCCUAACACAUGCAAGUCGAACGGCAGUACAAGAGAGCUUGCUCUCUGGGUGGCGAGUGGCGGACGGGUGAGGAAUGCAUCGGAAUCUGCCCAUUUGUGGGGGAUAACCUCGGGAAACCGGGACUAAUACCGCAUACGACCUACGGGUGAAAGCAGGGGAUCUUCGGACCUUGCGCAGAUGGAUGAGCCGAUGCCGGAUUAGCUAGUUGGAGGGGUAAAGGCCCACCAAGGCGACGAUCCGUAGCUGGUCUGAGAGGAUGAUCAGCCACACUGGGACUGAGACACGGCCCAGACUCCUACGGGAGGCAGCAGUGGGGAAUAUUGGACAAUGGGCGCAAGCCUGAUCCAGCCAUGCCGCGUGUGUGAAGAAGGCCUUCGGGUUGUAAAGCACUUUUGUUGGGAAAGAAAAGCAGCCGGUUAAUACCCGGUUGUCAUGACGGUACCCAAAGAAUAAGCACCGGCUAACUUCGUG
This 490-nucleotide ribosomal RNA is filed under the name uncultured bacterium. Its description in RNAcentral is "partial 16S ribosomal RNA". It matches the Rfam family "Bacterial small subunit ribosomal RNA", at positions 29 to 507 of the family's 1533-position model. The record is from RNAcentral.